Molecule: ribosomal RNA, 538 nt
Filed under: Botryosphaeria dothidea
Lineage: Eukaryota; Fungi; Ascomycota; Dothideomycetes; Botryosphaeriales; Botryosphaeriaceae
Description: eukaryotic LSU rRNA
Rfam family: 5.8S ribosomal RNA (bases 165-318)
Source: RNAcentral
UCCGGCCCGAUCCUCCCACCCUUUGUGUACCUACCUCUGUUGCUUUGGCGGGCCGCGGUCCUCCGCGGCCGCCCCCCUCCCCGGGGGGGUGGCCAGCGCCCGCCAGAGGACCAUCAAACUCCAGUCAGUAAACGAUGCAGUCUGAAAAACAUUUAAUAAACUAAAACUUUCAACAACGGAUCUCUUGGUUCUGGCAUCGAUGAAGAACGCAGCGAAAUGCGAUAAGUAAUGUGAAUUGCAGAAUUCAGUGAAUCAUCGAAUCUUUGAACGCACAUUGCGCCCUUUGGUAUUCCGAAGGGCAUGCCUGUUCGAGCGUCAUUACAACCCUCAAGCUCUGCUUGGUAUUGGGCACCGUCCUUUGCGGGCGCGCCUCAAAGACCUCGGCGGUGGCGUCUUGCCUCAAGCGUAGUAGAACAUACAUCUCGCUUCGGAGCGCAGGGCGUCGCCCGCCGGACGAACCUUCUGAACUUUUCUCAAGGUUGACCUCGGAUCAGGUAGGGAUACCCGCUGAACUUAAGCAUAUCAAUAAGCGGAGGAA